Non-coding RNA from Schizosaccharomyces pombe (fission yeast), 371 nucleotides. Lineage: Eukaryota; Fungi; Ascomycota; Schizosaccharomycetes; Schizosaccharomycetales; Schizosaccharomycetaceae. The record is from the annotation of a GenBank genome assembly.
AAUAGAUAUUACUUGUGUAUGUAAUUUAAUGUUUUCAAAUAUUUUUAUACAAAUACGUCAAACUAUGCGACAAUAUUUUGAAAGCUAGAUCGUGCAGAAGUCGCUUCUGAGUCAGUAUUGAGCAAUAAGAAUUAUUCGGAUGAUUUUUUCAAUAAUCUUAAGUUACUGUCAGGCUCAAUGCAAUAAACACGAUCAAAAGAACAUUUAAAGCUAUAAUGUGUAUUCACUUUUAAUUGUAAACACAAACGAUUAAAAAAUUUACGUGUAUAAGUAUUUUUCCUCUAUGAAGGCUAAAACGUUAUGUGGAAAAGAAUAGUCAAUCAUCAAUAACGUUCAUAACUUGUACUAUUGAACAAGUCGUGCUGGGUAAA